GGGUCGAGUCCCGCGGAUCACCGAACACCCGACCAACUGGACCGUCCCGAGGAACGACCCCGUCACGCUCAACUGCGACGCCGAGGGCAGACCCAAUCCUAAAAUCACCUGGUAUAAAGACGGCGCCCCUGUCAAGCCCUCGCCCCACCGGUUCAUCCUACCCACGGGCUCGCUCUUCUUCCUGAGGGUCUCCCAGAGCAAGAAGGAGAACGAUGCCGGGGUGUACUGGUGCGUGGCGAGCAAUAGGCUGGGCAGCGUCAAGUCUGCCAACGCCUCCCUACAGAUUGCUUUUCUCCGUGACGACUUCAGAACGUCACCGACGGGGGCGCGGGUGGUGGCGGGGGAGAGGGCGGUGUUGGAGUGCUCGCCACCCAAAGGUCACCCAGAGCCUCUUGUCUCCUGGACCAAGGACGGCCACACUCUGGCCCUAGACGACAGGGUGUACGUGAAGGAGGGCGGUGGACUGGUCAUGACAGAGACGCUACAGACAGAUGAAGGCAGCUACGUCUGCGUCGCCUCCAACCUCGUGGGCACCAGGACCUCGGCGGCUGCUAUUCUGGCCGUCCAGGUCCGACCAUUCUUCGUGCGCCUCCCGAGUGACGUGACGAGUGUGACGGGGGGAGAGGCGACGCUCCGAUGCCGUGUAGGAGGGUCGCCACGCCCCCACGUCCUCUGGAGACGCCACGACGGACGCAUGCAAGUAGGACGCGCGCGCCUGGAUGAUGACUCAUCCCUCAGGAUCAGCGACCUCACCGUGGAGGAUGCUGGCGUGUAUAUCUGCCAGGCCGAGAACGCCGUAGCCACCGUCGUCGCCAACGCCACCCUCACUGUCUAUGAUCCGCCACAGCUGGUGUCAGGACCAGUGGACACCUCCGUCAUCCUCAACACCACUGUACGUCUCCCCUGUUACGGGAGGGGCACGCCCCUGCCCACGCCCGUCUGGACCCACUCUUCCCUGCCACAGCAGCCUCUGGGCGCGGGGUGGGCGGGGGAGGACGCCCAUGUGGAUGAGGACGGGACACUGGUGGUGACGCCCGUAAGGCAGGCCCAGGGCGGCUCGUGGACCUGCUCCUUGGUGAGUGAGGCGGGCGCCGCCCACGCCCACGCCUGGCUCACUUUGGUCGCCCGCCGUCAUGCCCCACCACCCAUCAUCAGCGUCCCCCCUGCCAACCAGACACUGCCCGCCCGCACCCACGCCAUCCUCCACUGUCGAGCAAAAGGUCCUCCCACGCCCACUCUCACCUGGUACCGGGGGGCGGCGCCCGUCAGGUCAAUCAGUAACAGAAUCUCCAUCAGCAAGGCCGGCGACCUCACCAUCACCAGUCUGCACGAGACUGACAGUGGUCGCUACACCUGCGUGGCCGAUUCGUGGUCGGGGUCGUCGCAGAGGUCAGCGUCGCUGCUGGUGGUAGGUGGGGACGACCCUCAAGCUGCCCGCAGCUUCCGCCGGGCCCCCUCGCCCUCCGCCCUUCCAGCCCCACCCACACGCCCACGCAUCAGCGAUCUCACCAACGCCUCCGUGACGUUGGUGUGGGCGCCGCCACACACCAAUGGGGAGGCACCCCUACUGGGUUACACCCUGGAGUCUUACACAUCCACAGGGGAACACCGAGGGGGUCAGUGGCGGUUGGUGGCGAGAGGAUUAGCCCGCCCCCGCUAUACUGCCCCCCUGGAGGCUGGCCGUCCACAAGUGUUCGUGGUGCGGGCAGAGAACUCGCUGGGGGAGUCACCGCCCUCGCCCUGGUCGCAGGUGGUGAUAGUUGGUGUGGGCGGGGAGGUGGGUGAAGGAGGAGCAAUACACACCCGGGUGGAAACGCCACCUUCCCUGGUGGGUCGUCGUCUCAAUCUCACCGCCCUCAACACCCUCACCUCCUCCUCCAUGAAGGUCACCUGGCAGGUGACUGGUUCUGGCACACGCGUCGAAGGUGUAUACGUCCAUAUGCGACCUCGACGCUCUCUACACGCCCUUCACCUCGCCCCUCAAGUCGAGUCACCUCCCCAUUCCUCUUCCUCAUCCUUUUCCUCCACUUCCUCUUCCUCGGGAGACUACAUUGCCUGGGACACAGUGACGGUGAUGAACGCAGGGGCCUCCAGCUACGUGUUGACCAGCCUGACGCCUAACACGGAGUACGAGGUAUUCCUGGUGCCCUUCGUCAGGACGGAGGAAGGGCUGCCCACCGAGCUCAGGGUCAACACCACCCUCCCUGACGCACCAGCUGGACCGCCGCAGGAGGUUUCCGUUCACCUGGUCAACCUCACCCACGCCUCCCUCACCUGGCGACCACCUGACGCAGACCUCCAGCACGGCUUCAUCACCGGCUACCAGAUCCUAGCGUUCGUCAAUGGAAGUUCCAUCUUCCUCAACAAGACUGUCAAUUCCUCUACUUUCACCUACCAGUUGGCACCCCUCAUCCCAGGUCACAUCUACUCCGUCAGUCUAUCAGCGCAUUCCAAGAUGGGGGAGGGACCAUCCUCUCAACCAAUCAGGCUACAGACAGACCCAGCCUUGCUCAACCCACUAGCCAAUCGCCACGCAGGGUCAGAGGGCGUGGUGCGAGAGGCAUGGUUCAUCGUGCUGGUGGGAGGGGCCAUGUUCUUCCUCUUGAUGGUGUUCGUGGUUCUCCUCUACAUCAGGAGGUUCCACAACAAGGCCUCCAAGCUACCCACACUCAACGUUGUGAAUGCCGUCCCCGACUUGGAUGUUGGCGACAGAACACACCCGGAUUCACAACCUCGGGCCAUGUUGCUUUACGGGGAUUGUUCAGUGACCAAGACGAGCAACUUGGCCAACUUCUAUGGUGGAGAGAACCUGUGGCCCGAGUCUGGCUGGAAACCCUCCGACGGGGACAAACCCGAAGCCAAGGUAGUGAACGGUCGGGGGGCGCAGAACCGCAACCUCCUGGCCUCCCUAGCACCUGAAUACGCUGAGAUCGACUCCCUGGGCACCUUCACCGCCGGUAAGAAGGGCGAGAUGGACGUGAGCGCCGAGGCCUACGCUUCUGCAUCCAUCUUGGCGGCUUGUAACAACAGGAAGAAUAAGCAGGUGUCCGAGAAGUUCCUGUCGCUGCCGCAGUGUGUGCCGCUGUUGAAGGGCUCUCACCAUCAUCUCCAUCACCUGCAGGGACAGUCGCAGAAGCAGCAGCAGCAGCAGCAACAGCAGCAGCAGCAGCAGGACGAGUACAGUUGCAGACUCUCCAAGGACAUGCUCAACAACACCGACAACGAAGAUAAGUCAGUCACGGAGUCUAAGCGUCCAUUCUUCAUCGAGACGUCGUCACCAACGCUGCUAGGGUCGUCGAGCCUGUCGUUCACCAGCACGGGUGGCCCCAGGCUGACGUCCACCACCCUGAGUGGCCACCACCUGGCACGCCACACACCUAGCAAGGGCGGCGCUUCCCCCUACAGUGUCAACCCCUUCACCUCCCAGCCUCACCUUCUCCAUAAGGGUAUAGCGUUGACCCUGCGUGAUCUGGUGCCUCCCCCGCCCCCACAUCCACCGCCAGGCUCACACAGACACAGGGAAUUCUCCAGGACUAACACCCUUGAGGAGUUGCCCUACGCCUGCUACUCCUCCACACGGGUUGCUUCACCUCGGCCCUCCCGCACAGCCAGCCUGGAAGGGGGCGGCUCCCCCUACGGAGGAUCCACCAACACCUACCAGAGCAUCGACGGUCUGACUGACGCCCUUCGCCGGGACGAUGACCGCUGUUGCUCCCAUUCCUGUAGUCAUGGACAGUGUCACUCCCACCACAGCCACGGCCACGGACACUCCCAUGGCCGCUGCAGCACCUGUGGCUCCCGGAACUCGUCGGCGUCUGCUUGUCGUCGCAACAGUGGCCGCACCAGCCGCUGUGGACACGUACGGUCGGGCAGGACCUCGGGAGGAUCGCUACACUCCCUGGCACGACCUUGCUGCCAUGACCCCAACCGUAUCUCUCCCUAUGAGUCCACGGCACCCGCAAUCCCUUCCCACGCUUAUAGACCCAACUUCUACGGCUGGGCUUCUCCCCCAGGCUCUCCGGGGGUGGACGAUGGCAGGAUGGGGCCGCGACGGCAAGUGUCCCUCGAAAGUGAUGCUCUUCUGAGGUCCGACCAGACACAGGUGUAUGCUCCUGGGGGCUCAAUCCGCUCUGACGGCGAGUACUGGUGUAGUCGUGACGCCGCUAGCGUCUACGGGGGCUCAACGCGCUCUGCCGGUGGGGAGACAGGCGGAGGGUCGAGGGCGGGGCCACCGGGAACGUCCCCGGACUCCAGUGCCGUGGAGGGCGUCCCUAGUGACGCCAUAUCCUGCGGCUCCUGCGAGGAAACCGACGCGUCCUUUUACGCUGCAUGCGACAAGCAGACCAAAUUAUAAAUCCAUGUGCUCCUUGAAGCCAGGCUCAGUGCCGGGAACCGUGCCGGGCUGGAGCUGUGUUAUGCCAGUGUAGCGGACGAGGCAUCUAAGAACUCCAGUGUCAGUGAUGAAAACCCCUUAGUGUGUAGCUUUAAGAGUGGUGACACCCGGAAGGGACAAGACGCUGUCUGGCGUGACUCGGGUGAUUUGUGAACAUUGCACUGCCAGUUGCCAAAGCUGAGGUAAUAUAAUUACCCAGAACUGUGCCAUAGAAACUCUAUACGGGCAGCGCUGGAAAGGAUGCGUGACCACAAGGUGAGAAGGACGGCGAUGUUAUUACCUGAAGGACUCUCAGGUGGGCCUCACCUGGCCUGGGCUGGACGAGAGGCACACCUGGACCACAGGAAGAAGCUCAUUAUCGCCGGCCUCGUCACAAUACUCUUAGGGUAGGUGUGUCUGUAGUGGGCAAAAGAGGAUGUAAUCUCCUCUCCCCAGCCGAGCUUUAUCUCCCGCUUGUUAAGAAGGAAAAUGGAAAACUCUGAGGUAUACCAUGAUCUUCCUCGGAUGGAGGGAUGACGAUGUGCUCUCAACUUGUUAUGGAGCGGCGGCUUUAUGCUGUCAGCUGUUGAAUUAUGAGAGGAAAUUUUAAUCCAGUGGAAGCAACCCUCUGCACGCUGAGCCACGGAGGAAACUUCGUUGUCCACAGUAAAAAUUAUUGAGCUGUACCACCAGACGUGACCAUUGUCGUGAGCUUACGACACAGCAACUUCUUUGUGUUAUGCUUUAACGUUCGUAUAGUGAUUUACUUACCGCAUACGGUAAUAUCAUGAAUUUAUAUGGCAAAAGAAAAUAAAGUGAAUAAUAUUGAUAUUAUAAUUGUCCUGCCAUUCAUCAGAAAAUAGGAAUGCUCAUUAUGCCGUCACAACACCGAAAAGGCUUGCUGUGUCGUUAGCUCACAGCUUGCUGAAGGUUAGUAAACUCUCCCGAGGGUGACGCAGCAGCAGGUGUAGCGAGGGGCCCAACAGCUAAGUAAUUACGAAGCCCCACAGGUGACUAUGCAAAUAACCGGAACAGGGUGUUGAGUUGCUGCUGAGCCCAACUCUUGUCUUGUCUUACACUCAACAUAACACAAAAACUACACUUUUGAUGGUAUAUGUGUUUACCAUAUAGAAAGAGCAUUAUUUUUCCUAUACGUAAAGUUUGAUGGACGCCAGGUGAAUGCAUAAUGAUACAGAUAAAUGUUUUUAACAUUUUGACUGAUAUAUGUUGGGGGAAAAUGCACUCAAACCGCUCAAAACAUUCGGGGCUGAUGUUAAACAUUGCUAUGGUGACUUAAACGUUCUUCUGGGGAUGUUUACCUAAAAGAUGGUGUAUGUUAGAAAUUUUAUGUAGAACUAAAGUGAUAUACAACUAGAGGUUUUGUAAUAAGAGUGUAAUCGUCCAAAAGUGUGUUUUUUGUGUGAGUAUCGACGACAGGCAUUAAAAGGGCUCAGUCGGCACCUCCAUACAGAAUGUUUGAAUCAACUCACGCACUGUGUACAUAACUCUUAUUGUGGAUUUGGUUCUAGGAGUUCUGUUACUGCAUGGAUGGAGGUAACUAGAUGUAUUUUGCAAACAAGAUCUUGUGAAAGACUAAAUAUUUUCUCUAUUGGCCAGUUUGUACAUAGUGACUAGUGAUAUAAGGUAUGGAAGCUUACCCACUAUGCGAAUUUUGGGGAUAUGGUAGAUGGCAGACGUCUUCAGCUGGGGUAUAUGGCACUUGACUCGGUCUGUAAUAAUUAGGGUACUCGAAUGAUCAAACUAGGAUGUAGAAAUCUUUUGAUAUUACAGAAUAUAAUUUGAAAAUAAAGCAUUUCUAGUCAUUUGCCGUUGAUAAAGUAUAAUUGAUUAUAAAACUAAUGUUGUUAAGAGCUAGGAAUACCUAAAUCGUAAGCUUGUUUUUAUACAGACUUGUGAAUGUGUUCGUGCGACUCACUAGAGUUCUUGUAAUUCACGUAUACAUAGUAUAUCGAAAAUGUUGCAAAAAUGUCAAUUAUAUGCUCUAAUGCAGGUGUAAAUAUGGGCCAAAAGUCUUUUGUAAACUUGUCAUGUCCUCAACACUGCGUUACAGGGUGUCUAAAAAAGAUUUUCGUUGUUGGCAACCGGAAAUAAUUUUUUCUAGAAAUUCUGUGUACAAAACAAUCCCUCUUAGGUACUUAAUGUGUAAACGUGAUAUGAUAACAGCAGAAAAAACUCGUUUAUUUUGGAACAUUGAGCCGAAUGUAUGAGGUCAAAAACAAUUUCAUACUCCGUGUCUAAAGUUAAACUUGAUCAAAGUCCAACGAUGAUGUCAGUUGUAAGACAUCUUCACGUCUUUUGACUGGGAGUAUGUGGCAGAAACUUUGUCAUAAACAGACGGUUAAGCACGUCUCAUGUUUAUAACCAACAGGCCUAUUACAACCACUUCUGAUCAUGUCAUACACCCGUGGCCAGUUGACAAAUCCAGCCACACCCGUCGACGAAUGUAUGUCAUGUCAGGUCAAGUCAGGUCAGGUCACAUACCAGCAGCAAAUGUGAGGAUUGUGAUGUGUAAAUGAGAGUCAGUUUCUCUGCGUCAGUGUCACAGUGAAGUGAGUGACUCCUGCCUGAGAUCCAGUCAGGAUGUAAAACAGAUUGGAUUUUUUUCUAAUGACGAUUUCUUUCUUUAUGGCAGCGAGAGGAUGAAUUAUUAUGAUGUAACUAGUGUGGGAAGGAAGCCGAUCAUUAUUUUUAUCAAUAAUUAUAAACGUGAAUUAUAUAUAAACCGUAUUUAUUUUGGUAGAUGAAUGAUUAAGGAGCGAAAAAAAAAAAUACCGUUUCGUUAUAUAUUUAUGGUGUGAAAAUAUUCCACAACUCCAAAACAAGUGUCCGAACGCUGUGAAAAAUGUGACUCCCCCUUGACUUGGACUUUGGCAUCAAUAACAUACAAACACCAACAGGAUUUUUGUUUCCCCUAUGGACGAAUUUUUUUUUUUACUUUGCUGUUAUCACAUUUGUUCUUCGUUGCUUCUCUCCCUCGUUACCCUCUCCCCCUUUACCACCACCUGUUUGUUAUUAUGAAUUUCCCGCAGGUGCUCGUUACCCAAAGGUAGUUGGGGUCAAACGAGCCUGCCGCCAGACCUAUCACUUGCUCACACAGAUUCGAACACCACGUAGCUCCCUGACUCUCUCGUUGACAUUUUGUUUUUCUUACAAGUCAUUCAUCCCCGAUUAAGUGUGAAAAGAUGUUUGUAAUGUCUUCCUAUACGCCUCUCUCUCUCUCUCUCUCUCUCUCUCUCUCUCUCUCUCUCUCUCUUACCCUCCAUCCCGACAACUUCUUUCAUCGCCCUUCCCCUUUCCAAUUCUCCUUUUCCUACUGCUCCCCAAAUUAUUUCCCUUCACUCUAUACGACUUUUCCGCUAUCGUUCUCUUUCAAUUUCCCCUUUUUUUUUUCUUUUUAUUCCUCUUUCUUUUUUUUCUGGCCAUCUACUUCUCACUUGUGUUUAUCCAAUGAGAUAAUCCACAUGCAGAGAGAAGAGAGAGAGAGAGAAGAGAGAGAAUGAUUACCAUCUUUACCUCCACCUGUUGAAGCCUUCCUCCGCCACCUGACCAGAUGAUGAAUGACUCCCUCCCACAGGACCCAAAAAAAAAAAUAAAUAAAUAAAAAACCCUUCCCAGAAUCCCUUUCCACCAUUAAGGCAAGAUGUGAAUAACUUUUCCCUUUCCAUUUCAUUCCAGUUCGUGUUUUCAGUAUUUUUGUUUUCAGAGUCAGAAGCUCGUGGACGUAGCGGUGUAAAUAAUGUAAAUAAAAGUAGUCUUACCCCACCCACCCCCCCCUUCCCUUGUCUACCACCUCCCCCCAUACUCCUCCACCAACCUACCUUUCCUUCCCCUAACCUCAUCUAUCCCCCCGCUUCCCACUACCCGUCCUCUCCUACCCUUCCCCUCCUUUGAUCCAACCCUCCCCGUCCCAUAUUCCCACCUCCCUCCUGGCUUCGACGUGUGGCAGUAGAUAUUGCUCCAUUGUUGGGUCGGUUCCUCCACCACCACCUCCCCCAGUAUGUCGAUAUUACCUCUCUUGUCAACAGUCCAGGACCCUGAUUCUCAAAGUUUCGUUCGUAGAUAAAAAAAAAAGACACCUCCCCCCUAACUGAAGAUAAGAUAACACAUCAAGGUCUAUCCAAUAGUGUGCCAGUGUGAUUUAUGCGCCAUUUUGGGCUGGUAACUUCGUGUGUGUGUAUGUGGAAGCUUCAGUAAGGUCAGUUAGACGCGCUCUCACAUAACCAGCUGGAAGGAAGGCCGGGGACAUUUUUUUUUAACUCUCGAAUCUCUGGGAAUCUGGAGCCAGAAUAGUGAACAACUAAACAGUGGGUGAAAUGUGGAUGUAAAUUUGGCGUGUGUGUUUUUUUUUCUGAACUAUGUCUCUAGAGAGGCGUUUUGUAUCUACCCUUUGUAUAUGUAGAAGAGCUUAGGAGACCCUCUCCCAAUAAAUAUACACGGGCGGGGUACGAGGUUUUCACCCUUAUGUCAGCCCUUCAUAGAGGUGUCUGGUGAUAGAUGAAAGACUUUAGAAAAUAUUUAACAGCAACAAUAAUAAUUAAUAAUGUUACCAAUUAAAUUUAUAUGGAAUGUAAAUAGAUACAUACACAGGAGAGGUAAGAAAUGACAUGAAAAUAAGACAGAAAAGAUCAAUGAAGAUAAAUGGUGUCAGGAGGAGAACGGAAUAGAACCCCACAAUAAGCAUGAUGUUGAAACGACAAAUAAAACGAGUCUUGGAGACGCCUGACAAAAGGGUGAGAGUCUGGUACACCGUCUUAAUAGCCUCAUUAGGUGAGGACCAGCUACGGUUUGUACGUCUAGAAUGGUGUUUUGUGAAGGACAGAUAGAUGUAAAUAUACUAUUGUUUACAGUA
This 9242-nucleotide unclassified non-coding RNA is filed under the name Homarus americanus (American lobster). RNAcentral describes it as "roundabout homolog 1-like, transcript variant X4". Lineage: Eukaryota; Metazoa; Arthropoda; Malacostraca; Decapoda; Nephropidae. The record is from RNAcentral.